Mustela lutreola (European mink) is the source of this 2000-nucleotide long non-coding RNA. RefSeq lists it as uncharacterized. The record is from RefSeq and is a predicted model, not a curated record. NCBI's taxonomy places the organism in Eukaryota, Metazoa, Chordata, Mammalia, Carnivora, Mustelidae. The transcript has 3 exons.
CCCAGCAAAGCCAGGGUAGCCUCACCUCCUAGGCUGAGAGAUCUUGCUUUUCUCUACAAAUGCCCAGGAGCCUCUCCUCCAAGGGCUUUCGGCACCAUGGGCUCUGUGAGCCUGUGCCCCCUUAAAGUUCUCUGCGGGCAGGGUCACCCCGGGGCUGAGGGAGGAAGCCAUUGCUUUUGCCCAGACCUAAGAUCUCCUCAGUCUCCUUCACGGCCGAGAGCUUCAUGCUGACAAGGACUAAUGCGGGGCACAUUUCUACACACCGCUGGUCUACAAACUCCUUCGAUCCCCAUGACAACCGAGUGAGAAAGACCUUGUUGUUAUUAUUAUCAUGCCUAUUUUACUGACCAAGAAACUGAGACACAGAGAGACUAAGUGACCUGAUCAAGAUCUUCAGAUAGUUGACGGCAGCACUAGAAUAUGAGGCACUUUGAGAUUCCCCGGGUCAACAGAGAGCAUUGCAUGCUGAAACCUCCGAAGCUAGCUGUGUGACCCUGCACUGGUUAAGUCCCCUCUCUGAGCUGCAGUUUUCCCCUCGGUGUGCCCCCGUGGUGGCAUGGCUGGCGUGGAGGUGUGGCUGGCGCGGCUGGGGACUUGUCCGCCGCACCCCACCUGAGCUACCACCUCACACGUCACAGAGGCUGCGCAGAGUCUGAUCCACAGCUUCGCCCUGUGUUGCGGAAUUUUGACAUUUGACAACAGGCUGGGGAUGGUCAAAUGCUGCACAUUUCACAAAGAAGACUGGCUUUGGAGCUGCCCCUGGAAGAUGACCUGUAAGCCCUUGGAACCACCUGCGUGAGAAGAGUGUCUUUGGAUACUUGAAGCCUUGGGCCCUGUUGGACAGUUUAUGCAAACUGUGAUUUGUGGUGGGGAUUCUGGGCCCUCCUCAGUCCGUGGGACUUCUGGACAGGCUGGAGACGGGGUUAUGAGGGGCAGUCACAAAGUCCUGACGUGACUGACCCCCAGUAAAAGCUACAGACACCAAGGCUUCGUGGAGCCUCUCUGGCUGAGAGUAGUCUGUGUGAGUUGUCACACGUCACUGCCAGGAGAAUUAAGUGUCGUCUCCAUGAUCCCACUGGGAGGUAUGACUGAAAGCCAGUGCCUGGGCUCUGCCUGGGCAGGUUUUCCCCUUUGCUGGUUUAAUCUGUAUCUUUUCACAUAACAAACAUUAACUGUGAUGAUACCAGCUUUUCUGAGUUCUGGGAGCCCUUCUAGAAAAUCAUCAGACCUGAGAGUGGUCUUGGGAAUCCCUGACACAUCUUCCCAAUCCUUGACUUCUGCUUCUUCCAGAAUGAACCAGAAGACUCUUCUGUCUGUCUCUUGCAAAUUCAGAGCAUUUGUAUUUCAUACUCUCAGUAGUUUAUCAAGAAAUUUCUUUCAAGUAAAUCCAGUGUUCCCUAUGGAAGUGAUGUUGGUAAAAACAAUUUUCUCUAGCUUAUCUCCUUUUGCAAACAUGCCUAAGAAGUAUGUGUGUGUGUGUGUGUGUGUGUGUGUGCAUGUAUGUGUGUCUGCAUACACAGACACAUACACACAUACUCAUACACCAGAACCAGGACUAGGAAUUACUUUACUGCCAGUAUCUAGGGACUAUUUCCAAUUACUGUAAGGCCAGUGAAAGAAAGAAAGAAAAAAAAACACACAGUGGGCAGGGCACCUCGGAUUACCUCUCUGCAAACAGUGUGAGGUCUCUUUAUCCCCCUCACGGUAACUAAUGGCUGCAUUGGUCUCAUCACACACUUGUAUCAUAAUUUUCUAACCAGUCCUCUCUUGCUGAAUAAUUGCAUUUCCAACAUUUUUCCUUUUCUAUAUAAAGCAUCAUUGAAUAUUCUUGUACUAGUAAUCAUUAGGCUCUGCUAUAAUUAUUUCCUUAGCAUCAAUUUCUACACAUGGGAUUUCUGAAUUAGAGAGCACAGACGUUUUUUAAGAUCUCUGAUAGAGUACACCUUUUGGGGAUUUGUAUCAGUUAAAAAUUCCACCAGUUUUAUGUAAACAUGAUCAUU